UGGAGCAUGCUGGGUCAUACUGUUGCCAGGCCCGGGGAGUCUCCCAGUCGACACCCAACUGGAGGAGGCUUGUCUAUCUUCGCCUUAGUGUGCAGAGACAGCGCAGGCAGACCAAGACGCCAGAGAUGUCCGUUCAGCCAUUCAAUUCUGCCGAGGGAAAGAAGUUGUGUUAGUCAACUCUGAUGACUCGUACUUUUCUCUGUGGACUCUGCUAGGGACUGUUCUGUAAGCCAGUCACAGAAGAUGUGAACUGUAUCUGUACUAUGAAGUCUUUAUAUAAAUAAAGUUAAGGGCCACA
Molecule: long non-coding RNA, 298 nt
Organism: Eriocheir sinensis (Chinese mitten crab)
Lineage: Eukaryota; Metazoa; Arthropoda; Malacostraca; Decapoda; Varunidae
Exons: 2
Source: RefSeq, a predicted model, not a curated record